GGCGNCAGGCCUAACACAUGCAAGUCGAGCGGCAGCGGGAAAGUAGCUUGCUACUUUUGCCGGCGAGCGGCGGACGGGUGAGUAAUGCCUGGGAAAUUGCCCAGUCGAGGGGGAUAACAGUUGGAAACGACUGCUAAUACCGCAUACGCCCUACGGGGGAAAGCAGGGGACCUUCGGGCCUUGCGCGAUUGGAUAUGCCCAGGUGGGAUUAGCUAGUUGGUGAGGUAAUGGCUCACCAAGGCGACGAUCCCUAGCUGGUCUGAGAGGAUGAUCAGCCACACUGGAACUGAGACACGGUCCAGACUCCUACGGGAGGCAGCAGUGGGGAAUAUUGCACAAUGGGGGAAACCCUGAUGCAGCCAUGCCGCGUGUGUGAAGAAGGCCUUCGGGUUGUAAAGCACUUUCAGCGAGGAGGAAAGGUCAGUAGCUAAUAUCUGCUGGCUGUGACGUUACUCGCAAAANAAGCACCGGCUAACUCCGUGCCAGC
RNAcentral lists this ribosomal RNA (487 nucleotides) under uncultured bacterium. RNAcentral describes it as "bacterial SSU rRNA". It matches the Rfam family "Bacterial small subunit ribosomal RNA", at positions 38 to 512 of the family's 1533-position model. The record is from RNAcentral.